Molecule: non-coding RNA, 31 nt
Filed under: Rattus norvegicus (Norway rat)
Lineage: Eukaryota; Metazoa; Chordata; Mammalia; Rodentia; Muridae
Source: RNAcentral
UGCCAGUUUGCAACUUGUCGUGGAGUCAGCC